AGUGAACGCUGGCGGUAGGCCUAACACAUGCAAGUCGAACGGCCGCACAGUAAGAGCUUGCACUUACGGGUGGCGAGUGGCGGACGGGUGAGGAAUACAUCGGAAUCUACUUUUUCGUGGGGGAUAACGUAGGGAAACUUACGCUAAUACCGCAUACGACCUACGGGUGAAAGCAGGGGAUCUUCGGACCUUGCGCGAUCGAAUGAGCCGAUGUCGGAUUAGCUAGUUGGCGGGGUAAAGGCCCACCAAGGCGGCGAUCCGUAGCUGGUCUGAGAGGAUGAUCAGCCACACUGGAACUGAGACACGGUCCAGACUCCUACGGGAGGCAGCAGUGGGGAAUAUUGGACAAUGGGCGCAAGCCUGAUCCAGCCAUACCGCGUGGGUGAAGAAGGCCUUCGGGUUGUAAAGCCCUUUUGUUGGGAAAGAAAAGCAGCAGGUUAAUACCCCGCUGUUCUGACGGUACCCAAAGAAUAAGCGCCGGCUAACUACGUG
RNAcentral lists this ribosomal RNA (492 nucleotides) under uncultured bacterium. RNAcentral's name for it is "partial 16S ribosomal RNA". It matches the Rfam family "Bacterial small subunit ribosomal RNA", at positions 29 to 507 of the family's 1533-position model. The record is from RNAcentral.